CUGGUACAAUGCGAAGCGAAGCAGUGAUGUGAAGCAAAUCGCACCAAAGCCAGUCCCAGUUCGGAUAAGAGGCUGAAACUCGCCUCUUUGAAGUCGGAAUCGCUAGUAAUCGCAGAUCAGCAUGUUGCGGUGAAUACGUUCCCGGGUCUUGUGCACACCGCCCGUCAAACCAUGAGAGUCACCAACACCCGAAGUCCGCCUUGGCGGCCUAAGGUGGGGGAGAUGAUUGGGGUUAAGUCGUAACAAGGUACC
This 252-nucleotide ribosomal RNA is filed under the name uncultured bacterium. Its description in RNAcentral is "partial 16S ribosomal RNA". It matches the Rfam family "Bacterial small subunit ribosomal RNA", at positions 1234 to 1500 of the family's 1533-position model. The record is from RNAcentral.